AUACCCGUCCCCGGGACUGUGAAUACACCCGUCCCUGCCCCGUUGCGACUAUCAGGCUCUAUCCACACUAACUGGUCCGUGGAGAGCAAGUCCAACUGGCAUGAGCAACACCAACACGAAAGCACAAGCUUGACUCCGGAGUGGCACUCGUGGGCGCUACCCAACCGAGUAUGCAGCGUAUCUCUGUCGAGCUCAAUCAGGCUCCAACUAGCCAAAGUCAAGAAAUCGACUCAAACUGGUCUAACAACCAACAGGUAACGUGCCCUCGGCACAAUCUGACGCCAAAAAGGCGAUACGGGUCCACCGUCAAUUCUGACGGUACCCAACAGUCCGGAACAACCUGAGCGACCCUGUAAAAAUCCACUCGGCAUACCAGCACGAGCGUAAAUGUAUUCUAAACUAUUUGGAGUACUCGUCUCGAAGAUACUGCGACAGUACAAUUUACUAUGGCCCCUAAAGCUAAAUCAGGCAGUUUAAUCAAGUGACAGGUCCAAAUCGCAGGUUUUCUCCUAAUUCAAUUUCCAAGUCCAACAUGUAUAACCUAUUCAAUUUAUUACCACAUGCUCCAAAUUCAGAUAUGCAAUCUACCAUUUAAUCCACGAAUUCGAGCUAGAAUAGAGUAUCCAAAGGUCGAUAAUUAUACAUGCCGACGAAUAUGAACUUAGGAGUAGAAACCGAUGUAACCCACCUC
This 691-nucleotide long non-coding RNA is filed under the name Ananas comosus (pineapple). Its description in RNAcentral is "long non-coding RNA (ACOM_LNC041212)". The record is from RNAcentral. Lineage: Eukaryota; Viridiplantae; Streptophyta; Magnoliopsida; Poales; Bromeliaceae.